This 26-nucleotide non-coding RNA is filed under the name Mus musculus (house mouse). RNAcentral also lists the same sequence under 1 other name. Lineage: Eukaryota; Metazoa; Chordata; Mammalia; Rodentia; Muridae. The record is from RNAcentral.
UUCUUAGGUCUACUGAUGAACAGGGA